CAUGACCAGGGGCUAUUCAUCAGCACUUGAUUGUAGCAUGGUUUCCAGGGUUCAGAUGACGAGCGGAGUGUAAAACAGGUCAGAGGUCUCUUACUUUGUUUCUUGAUCACAGUACAUUGGAGGAGACUCUCCAGCCCAUUGUUACUUGAGUGAUACUGUGUCUUGGUCCUGCAGUUAAAGCAGUAGUGGGAAGAAGUUCACACAGGCCUAUGUAGCAAUGACCUUCAAACCUGCCUCCUCCCCAGCCCCAGCAGCUGGGGUUAUUUGCUGUGUUUUAUGGUAGCCUGUUUUUUUAGAGUUGAUCAGAAUGAAAAUGUGUGAUUUGAACCAUGCUUGACUAUCAAGCUUCAUUACAACUUUCCAGAAAACAUGGUCUUUACUGCGUGCUCAGUAAAGCUGGGGCGGCCAGCAGCCAUGCUCCCUGCGUGGAC
RNAcentral lists this long non-coding RNA (431 nucleotides) under Androctonus crassicauda. Lineage: Eukaryota; Metazoa; Arthropoda; Arachnida; Scorpiones; Buthidae. The record is from RNAcentral.